GAUGAAGAACGUAGCGAAAUGCGAUAAGUAGUGUGAAUUGCAGAAUUCAGUGAAUCAUCGAAUCUUUGAACGCACAUUGCGCCUCCUGGUAUUCCGGGAGGCAUGCCUGUUCGAGCGUCAUCAAAAACCUCAACCCAUGAUUUAUUGUGAGUUGGUUCUGCAUUGGACUCCUUGUGGGUCCUUUGCGAAAUCCAAUGGCGAAGAGCCACGCAACCAAAGCGUAGUAUAACUAUUUCGUUAUGGAAGCGUGGGUGCCGCUGCCGUAACCCCCAAUUUCUUAGUUUUUGACCUCGGAUCAGGUAGGGAUACCCGCUGAACUUAAGCAUAUCAAUAAGCGGAGGA
RNAcentral lists this unclassified non-coding RNA (342 nucleotides) under soil metagenome. RNAcentral describes it as "partial contains 5.8S ribosomal RNA, internal transcribed spacer 2, and large subunit ribosomal RNA". The stretch from base 1 to 120 matches the Rfam family "5.8S ribosomal RNA", at positions 35 to 154 of the family's 154-position model. The record is from RNAcentral.